AUUGAACGCUGGCGGCAUGCCUUACACAUGCAAGUCGAACGGUAACAGGUCUUCGGAUGCUGACGAGUGGCGAACGGGUGAGUAAUACAUCGGAACGUGCCUAGUAGUGGGGGAUAACUACUCGAAAGAGUGGCUAAUACCGCAUGAGAUCUACGGAUGAAAGCAGGGGAUCGCAAGACCUUGUGCUACUAGAGCGGCCGAUGGCAGAUUAGGUAGUUGGUGGGAUAAAAGCUUACCAAGCCGACGAUCUGUAGCUGGUCUGAGAGGACGAUCAGCCACACUGGGACUGAGACACGGCCCAGACUCCUACGGGGGGAAGCAGUGGGGAAUUUUGGACAAUGGGCGAAAGCCUGAUCCAGCAAUGCCGCGUGCAGGAUGAAGGCCUUCGGGUUGUAAACUGCUUUUGUACGGAACGAAAAGCCCUGGGUUAAUACCCUGGGGUCAUGACGGUACCGUAAGAAUAAGCACCGGCUAACUACGUGCCAGCCGCCGCCGUAA
RNAcentral lists this ribosomal RNA (498 nucleotides) under uncultured bacterium. RNAcentral's name for it is "partial 16S ribosomal RNA". It matches the Rfam family "Bacterial small subunit ribosomal RNA", at positions 30 to 523 of the family's 1533-position model. The record is from RNAcentral.